UACGUAGGCGGAUUUACAAGUCAGAAGUGAAAGCCCAGGGCUUAACCUUGGAAUUGCUUUUGAAACUGUAAGUCUGGAAUCCGGUAGAGGCUGGCGGAACUCCGAGUGUAGAGGUGAAAUUCGCAGAUAUUCGGAAGAACACCAGUGGCGAAGGCGGCCAACUGGACCGGUAUUGACGCUGAGGUACGAAAGCGUGGGUAGCAAACAGGAUUAGAUACCCUGGUAGUCC
RNAcentral lists this ribosomal RNA (229 nucleotides) under uncultured bacterium. Its description in RNAcentral is "partial 16S ribosomal RNA". It matches the Rfam family "Bacterial small subunit ribosomal RNA", at positions 568 to 796 of the family's 1533-position model. The record is from RNAcentral.